GUCUAUGGCCAUACCACCCUGAAUGCACCCAAUCUCAUCUGAUCCUGGAAGCUAAGCAGGGUCUGGCCUGGUUAGUACUUGGAUGGGGGAAAAUACUUCUGUAUUUC
RNAcentral lists this ribosomal RNA (107 nucleotides) under Microcebus murinus (gray mouse lemur). The record is from RNAcentral. Lineage: Eukaryota; Metazoa; Chordata; Mammalia; Primates; Cheirogaleidae.